AACGAACGCUGGCGGCAGGCCUAACACAUGCAAGUCGAGCGGUCCCUUUGGGGGCAGCGGCGGACGGGUGAGUAACGCGUGGGAACCUGGCCUUGGGUGCGGGAUAACGUCGGGAAACUGGCGCUAAUACCGCAUACGUCCUGAGGGAGAAAGUGGGGGAUCUUCGGACCUCACGCUAUCAGAUGAGCCUAGGUCGGAUUAGCUAGUUGGUGGGGUAAAGGCCUACCAAGGCGACGAUCCGUAACUGGUCUGAGAGGAUGAUCAGUCACACUGGAACUGAGACACGGUCCAGACUCCUACGGGAGGCAGCAGUGGGGAAUAUUGGACAAUGGGCGAAAGCCUGAUCCAGCCAUGCCGCGUGCGUGAAGAAGGUCUUCGGAUUGUAAAGCACUUUAAGUUGGGAGGAAGGGCAGUAAGUUAAUACCUUGCUGUUUGACGUUACCAACAGAAUAAGCACCGGCUAACUUUAUGCCAGCAGCCGCCGCAGU
RNAcentral lists this ribosomal RNA (488 nucleotides) under uncultured bacterium. RNAcentral describes it as "bacterial SSU rRNA". It matches the Rfam family "Bacterial small subunit ribosomal RNA", at positions 29 to 524 of the family's 1533-position model. The record is from RNAcentral.